CUAAUACAUGCAAGUCGAGCGGACAGAAGGGAGCUUGCUCCCGGAUGUUAGCGGCGGACGGGUGAGUAACACGUGGGUAACCUGCCUGUAAGACUGGGAUAACUCCGGGAAACCGGAGCUAAUACCGGAUAGUUCCUUGAACCGCAUGGUUCAAGGAUGAAAGACGGUUUCGGCUGUCACUUACAGAUGGACCCGCGGCGCAUUAGCUAGUUGGUGGGGUAAUGGCUCACCAAGGCGACGAUGCGUAGCCGACCUGAGAGGGUGAUCGGCCACACUGGGACUGAGACACGGCCCAGACUCCUACGGGAGGCAGCAGUAGGGAAUCUUCCGCAAUGGACGAAAGUCUGACGGAGCAACGCCGCGUGAGUGAUGAAGGUUUUCGGAUCGUAAAGCUCUGUUGUUAGGGAAGAACAAGUGCGAGAGUAACUGCUCGCACCUUGACGGUACCUAACCAGAAAGCCACGGCUAACUACGUGCCAGCAGCCGCGGUAAUACGUAGGUGGCAAGCGUUGUCCGGAAUUAUUGGGCGUAAAGGGCUCGCAGGCGGUUUCUUAAGUCUGAUGUGAAAGCCCCCGGCUCAACCGGGGAGGGUCAUUGGAAACUGGGAAACUUGAGUGCAGAAGAGGAGAGUGGAAUUCCACGUGUAGCGGUGAAAUGCGUAGAGAUGUGGAGGAACACCAGUGGCGAAGGCGACUCUCUGGUCUGUAACUGACGCUGAGGAGCGAAAGCGUGGGGAGCGAACAGGAUUAG
This 750-nucleotide ribosomal RNA is filed under the name Bacillus pumilus. RNAcentral's name for it is "bacterial SSU rRNA". It matches the Rfam family "Bacterial small subunit ribosomal RNA", at positions 48 to 781 of the family's 1533-position model. The record is from RNAcentral. Lineage: Bacteria; Bacillati; Bacillota; Bacilli; Caryophanales; Bacillaceae.